Dipodomys ordii (Ord's kangaroo rat) is the source of this 65-nucleotide non-coding RNA. Lineage: Eukaryota; Metazoa; Chordata; Mammalia; Rodentia; Heteromyidae. The record is from Rfam.
GGUGGCUCAGUGGUAGAGUGCUUGCCUAGCAUGCAUGAGGCCCUGGGUUCAAUUCCUCAGCACCA